This 501-nucleotide ribosomal RNA is filed under the name uncultured bacterium. RNAcentral describes it as "partial 16S ribosomal RNA". It matches the Rfam family "Bacterial small subunit ribosomal RNA", at positions 30 to 523 of the family's 1533-position model. The record is from RNAcentral.
AUUGAACGCUGGCGGCAUGCUUUACACAUGCAAGUCGAACGGUAACAGGGUGCUUGCACCGCUGACGAGUGGCGAACGGGUGAGUAAUGCGUCGGAACGUGCCGAGUAGUGGGGGAUAACGCAGCGAAAGUUGUGCUAAUACCGCAUACGUACUGAGGUAGAAAGUGGGGGACCUUCGGGCCUCACGCUAUUCGAGCGGCCGACGUCUGUAUUAGGUAGUAGGUGAGGUAAAGGCUCACCUAGGCGACGAUCAGUAGCGGGUCUGAGAGGAUGAUCCGCCACACUGGGACUGAGACACGGCCCAGACUCCGACGGGAGGCAGCAGUGGGGAAUUUUGGACAAUGGGCGAAAGCCUGAUCCAGCCAUGCCGCGUGUCUGAAGAAGGCCUUCGGGUUGUAAAGGACUUUUGUCAGGGAGGAAAUCCCUAGUGCUAAUAACACUGGGGGAUGACAGUACCUGAAGAAUAAGCACCGGCUAACUACGUGCCAGCCGCCGCAGUAA